RNAcentral lists this ribosomal RNA (305 nucleotides) under uncultured bacterium. RNAcentral describes it as "bacterial SSU rRNA". It matches the Rfam family "Bacterial small subunit ribosomal RNA", at positions 339 to 637 of the family's 1533-position model. The record is from RNAcentral.
CUACGGGGGCAGCAGUGGGGAAUUUUGGACAAUGGGCGCAAGCCUGAUCCAGCUAUCCCGCGUGUGGGAUGAAGGCCCUCGGGUUGUAAACCACUUUUGUAGAGAACGAAAAGACACCUUCGAAUAAAGGGUGUUGCUGACGGUACUCUAAGAAUAAGCACCGGCUAACUACGUGCCAGCAGCCGCGGUAAUACGUAGGGUGCGAGCGUUAAUCGGAAUUACUGGGCGUAAAGGGUGCGCAGGCGGUUGAGUAAGACAGAUGUGAAAUCCCCGAGCUUAACUCGGGGAUGGCAUAUGUGACUGCU